Long non-coding RNA from Cyprinodon tularosa, 418 nucleotides. RefSeq lists it as uncharacterized. Lineage: Eukaryota; Metazoa; Chordata; Actinopteri; Cyprinodontiformes; Cyprinodontidae. The record is from RefSeq and is a predicted model, not a curated record. The transcript has 2 exons.
UGGAGGAGGCUGGCGGUGAAGGAGGGCCUCUGGAGGAGGCCGGCGACGAAGGAGCAGCAGCCUUGGGGGCCGCCGUCUCCGGAACAGCCUCAGAGGAGGCUUGGAGCGCCCGCUGAGGGGCCUUGGAGUGACCGAAUGUGGACUCCGUGGUGAUGGCAGCUUGCCUCCUCCAGAACUUCUCGCUGAGUAGAAGGGAGAACCAGCAGCUGCUGGGUGAGGGCCAGGAGGAUGGACGUAGGAUACGGCCUGUUGGCAAUAUGGCUGGACGACGCACAUCGGCUGAAGCCACAGCUGCCAGGGAUGUCUUGUGCACCUACUUCAACUCUCCAGGAGGGAGUGUACGAUGGCAAAAUAGAAAGCUGUGAAAGCUGCAUCCUGCUGUGAUUUACAGAUUGAAAUAAAAAAUCUGUAAACCUCA